GUGUCAGCAGCCGCGGUAAUACGGAGGGUGCGAGCGUUGUUCGGAAUUACUGGGCGUAAAGCGCGUGCAGGCGGCCGACUAAGUCAGGUGUGAAAGCCCGGGGCUCACCUCCGGAAGUGCGCUUGAAACUGGUCGGCUAGAGUACGGGAGAGGGAAGCGGAAUUCCUGGUGUAGCGGUGAAAUGCGUAGAUAUCAGGAGGAACACCGGCGGCGAAGGCGGCUUCCUGGACCGAUACUGACGCUGAGACGCGAAAGCGUGGGGAGCAAACAGGAUUAGAUACCCUGGUAGUCC
RNAcentral lists this ribosomal RNA (292 nucleotides) under uncultured bacterium. RNAcentral's name for it is "partial 16S ribosomal RNA". It matches the Rfam family "Bacterial small subunit ribosomal RNA", at positions 505 to 796 of the family's 1533-position model. The record is from RNAcentral.